Molecule: ribosomal RNA, 448 nt
Filed under: uncultured bacterium
Lineage: Bacteria
Description: SSU rRNA
Rfam family: Bacterial small subunit ribosomal RNA
Source: RNAcentral
AGAGCGAACGCUGGCGGCAGGCCUAACACACGCAAGUCGAGCGCCCGUAGCAAUACGGGAGCGGCAGACGGGGUAGUAACACGUGGGAACGCGCCCUUCGGUUCGGAAUAACUCAGGGAAACUUGAGCUAAUACCGGAUACGCCCUUACGGGGAAAGAUUUAUUGCCGAAGGAACGGCCCGCGUCCGAUUAGCUAGUUGGUGAGGUAAUGGCUCACCAAGGCGACGAUCGGUAGCUGGUCUGAGAGGAUGACCAGCAUCACUGGGACUGAGACACGGCCCAGACUCCUACGGGAGGCAGCAGUGGGGAAUAUUGGACAAUGGGCGCAAGCCUGAUCCAGCCAUGCCGCGUGGAUGAUGAAGGCCUUAGGGUUGUAAAGUCCUUUUAACGGGGAAGAUAAUGACGGUACCCGUAGAAUAAGCCCCGGCUAACUUCGUGCCAGCAGCCGC